GCUCCAGCCAGAGCUCGAGGUUAGCUCUUCACUGCCCUGUGUCUUCUUUCCAAGGGUCUCGGUGAUUCGGCCACAGCCUCAGCCUCCAUCACGCGGUGAACUGAUGGUGCUGGAAGAUUCAUAGACUCCAGGACAUUCCUGAAGCCGAGAAAAGGUCAGAAAUCCUGAAGGUCACUUUCUGACAAACUCAGGAACCCCAGGUUUAUCUUGGAGCCUCAAGAGGAGAUAAAUUCACCCAACUCAGGUAUUUGAUGGUACAAAUCCAUGUCUGGGGUUGGCUUUUAAAAAGUAUUAUCUGAGAUUCCUUCUGUGGAACAAAGUUCCAUCGGGGAAAAAUUGUGCAAAUGUAAUAAAUUUGGAAAAACACUUUUUCAAAAACUACAGCUUAGAAAACAACAGAGAGUUCAUACUGGAGUAUGCUUUUGCAGAUGCAGUACAUGUAAAAAAAUAUUUAAUCCAUAAUUAAGUCUAUGCAAAUAUCAGAAUUUAUGGUAGAAAUAUAUAAGGCACUGACACACUUCACGUAUUCUAAAUCAGUGCUGAGUAUAGGAAAUCUAAAACUAAAGUUGGCAGAAAAAUUAUUUGUAUGUAACUUUCAGAGGAUCAGAAGGUUUUUUGCAGAAUUAUAAUUACAUUCAAAGUAUAUUUCUUGAAAAAAAUACAGAUUUUUUGAAAAGUGAAUAAUGAUGUCAUUCAACUCUGAAAUUAUUUCCUGCUGUUUCUUCAUUCCUAUUGGAGUCAAAUGUGAAAGCAUAGGAUCAAUUGUUGCUGCGUCAAAGAUGUGAGAGAUUCUUUUUGUUUUGUUUUGUUUUCUGUUUUUUUGAGAUGGAAUUUCGCUCUUUUGCCCAGGCUGGAGUGCAGUGGAAUGAUCUUGGCUCACUUCCGUCUCCGCCUUCCAGUUUCAAGUGAUUCUCCUGCCUCAGCCUACUGAGUAGUUGGGAUUACAGGUGCCUGCCACCACACCCAGCUAAUUUUUGUAUUUUUAGUAAAGAUGGGGUUUCACCAUGUUGGCCAGGCUGGUCUCAAACUCCUGACGUCAUGAUCUGCCCGCUUCAGUCUCCCAAAGUGUGAUUACAGGUGUGAGCCACCAUGCCUGGCAAGGCAUUCUUUUUUAUUAGGGGGGUGUUGUUUAUUACCUCUUCUAUAGAAAAGUAAAGACAUUAAAAUGUAAGAUGCAUAAUAAAAAUCUAAGUGGAGAGGCUCUUAUAACCUAUAAUAUUGAGUGAUGCAUCAGGUAGGUGUUCAGAGUAAUCUGCAUUAUCAUGAGAAGAAAACAUGUUUAAUUUUAUUUAAAAUUAAAUGAGUAGUAUAUUAUUGUACUAAUUGUACUAAUUUUUUCUGAGACAGAGUUUUGCUCUUGGUGCCCAGGCUGGAGUGCAUUGGCACGAUCUCUGGCUCACUGUGACCUCUGCCUCCCAGAUUCAAGUGAUUCUCCUGCCUCAGCCUCCUGAGUAGCUGGGAUUACGGGCAUGUGCCCCCAUGCCUGGCUAAUUUUGAAUUUUUAGUAGAAACAGGGUUUCUCCAUGUUGGUCAGGCUGGUCUUGAACUGCCAACCUCAGGUGAUCUGCCCACUUUGGCCUCCCAAAGUGCUGGGAUUACAGGCAUGAGCCACCGAGCCUGGCCUGAUUGUACUUUUAUAUAAUAAAAUGCAGUACAUUUAUAAAUUUUAGAUUAUGUGUGAAGUUAAUAGUUUAAUUCAACAUUUUUAACAUGUUAAAUACUAUUGUGCAUUCAAUGAAGCGUUAUUAUGCCACAAACUUUAACCUCUUUCACCUUACUCAAGGGUAUAGGUAAAAGAUGGUAACAAUAUACUGUUUAGUAAGAUAAUAGAUUAACAUCUCUAGUGAUUUUUUUUUUUUGCCAGUGGCUUUCAACUGCAAAUAAGUUAAAGAAUAUUGUUUCUGUAGGUAAAUUUUUAUUCUGUUUUUAAUCAUUUAAAUUUAUUUUAAUUUUGGUGGCUGCAUGAGUAUCUAUGCAAUAUAUGGCAUGUUUUAAUACAGGAAUACAAUAUAUAAUAAUAAUAUCA
Molecule: long non-coding RNA, 2026 nt
Organism: Homo sapiens (human)
Lineage: Eukaryota; Metazoa; Chordata; Mammalia; Primates; Hominidae
Source: Ensembl